This 109-nucleotide unclassified non-coding RNA is filed under the name soil metagenome. RNAcentral's name for it is "partial internal transcribed spacer 1". The record is from RNAcentral.
UUGAUUGGUCGAAAGACCUUAUCAGAUUCUACCACCUCUGUGAACCGUUGACCUCCGGGUUAAUAAUCAAACAUCAGUGUAACGAACGUACGAGUAUCUUAAUUAAACA